CUCUGGGUGGCCAUUGGGAGCAAUGGGAAGUGGGGUGUUGCUGUGGGUGUCACUGGGGGUUGAGAAGUGGGGUGCUGUUCUUCAUGGCAGUCGGGAGGGUGAGAAGUAGGGUACCAUGCUGGGCGGCCAUUGGGAGGAAUGGGGUGCUGGUUCACAUGGCUUUUGGCAGGGAUGGGAUCAGGGUGCUGCACUGGCGAUCAUGGGGAGCGGUGGGUUCAGGGUACUCUGGUGGGGGGCUUUGAGGAGGGUAAGAAGUGGGGCACAGCUGUGGGUGCUCAUGGGGAGGGGUGAGGUCAGGUCCUGCUCUGCCCGGCCAUCAGCAGGGGUGCCAUUGGGGUGCAGGUCUGUGUGGGGCGGGAUGGCUGUGGGCCCCACCUCUUCCCCCUCAGCUUGCUGGAGGGUGGGUGAGAAACCUUUCGUGGUUUCUCUUCCUUGUGGCCGUGCGAAGGUGGUCCAAGUCCAGACUUCUGUUGGGCAGCAGAGCAGGAGAGCUGCCCAAAUUCCAACCCAGAGAAUACAAAGGGCCCCAUGCAGUGCUGUGGCUCUGGGGAGAACGAGCUGUCUCGGAGUGGUGGGACGUGUCCAGGGGCCACGGCGGGCUGCAGCCCCUCACCUUGUGUCCCUCACAGCUGCCAUUCUCUGGGGCCUGCCCUAACCGCGGCCAGGGUGGGCGCCAAUGGCCAACGCUCACUAUGGGAGGAGCCCUUCCUGCUCCUCGCGUGGCUGUGCUAUUUGCACUGUGACCACCGCCCACCCCGGCGGUCCCACCAGGCCACCCAGAGGGCCCUGGGGACGCUGCCCCACGUGCACCCCGCUAGGAAGCCUCUAGAUCCUGGGCACCGUUUCCUCUGACGCGUUCCUUCCCCCCGUCCUCUCCUGGCCUUGCGAGUGUCUGCAGGGCACCGUGCAUGCACUUAAAGUGUGUUCCUGGGUGAGGCUGUGGUCACUGGAAGCCCUUCCCAAAGCGACCCCCACAAGGCCACGUUCCAGCCUCCGGGUUGGAGGGCUGCUUCUCACACGGGCAGCUGAGCCGGAGGUCCGCAUGGAGUUCCAGCAGAAGUCCCAGAGAGUGUCCCUACUGCCUUCCCUUCCGUUCCCACCGGGAACAGCAGCGCGUCCGGUGCCUCCAACAGCUCCAAGGAUGGCCUCCCUGACGCCCCCUGAGCGCAAGGAGUUGUGGCUCUGCCAGUGCCUUUGUGCCCUGCCCACAGGGGAGGGGGCUCGGGGGGUGGCACCUGCAGCCACGAGGACUCCAUCUCCUGGCCGAGCAGAGGUGGUGAGGAGGGGAGCUGCGGCCUGGCGUGCAGUGUGGCUGCAAUAUGGGUGGCACCGCGUGGGACAUCACCGGGCUGUCAGCUCAGCACGGGCACAUGGCUGUCCAAAGAGGUUCCAGGCACAGAUAAGACGUUCAGUUGGGAUUUGCGCCUCAGGGGACCAGCGGGGACAUUUAAGGGCAGCGUGCGCGGCCAUUAUUAGUGCUUUUGGCUGUCAGCUUCAGCGUGUCCUCACAGACUGCCUCAAUGGCACCGAGCUCAGUGAGGGCCGCUGGGCCCCGGUGCGGCCUACAGCCCUGCUCCCCAUGGGGUGCUGCCCUGAAGGGAGGCAGGGCGAGCAGAUCCAGGUGCCCUCGGGGGCUGGGAGCUACAGAGCAGCCCUGCCUGGGGGUCACACAGCCGUGGGAGGGGUCAGGUUCGGGUGGGGGUCCACACUUCCCCCACUUCCCAUAUCCCAGAGCUGGGUGUCACAGGCCUGGUGGGACUCGAUGCAGUCAUUUCCCUCUAUUAUUGGAGCUUUUUUAUCAGUGAGUUACGAGUCCUUUGCCACCGGCAGUGGCCUGAGCGCUAUACGAUGUACAAAGAAAAGGCAGCUCUGGUGCCAAAGUGCUUAUUGUUCAAAAUGCAGAUUUUUUUUUGUUUUUCUUUUUUUCCCUUCAAAGCAAACCAAUAGACGGAAAACCAGAUGAAAAAACAGUGGGAGCCCAGAGACGAGAGAGAAGGAUUUACUUUGUUAUUUAACCUGGGAUCUGCUGCGCUGUGCUCAGCAGCCUGCCCUAAGGAGCCUGCCUUGGGAGGGGUUGGGCUGGGGGAUCUGCAGAGCUUCCUUCCCACCCCUGAAAUCCUGUGAUUCCGUGGUUCUGUCUUCUCCAGGCACCCCUUGAAAUGGAGCCCUGGCAGAGAUCGUAGAUUGGUUUGAGUUGGACGGGACCCUGAAAAGCCAUCUGGUCCCACUCCCCUGCAAUGGGCAGGGUCACCCACAGCUCCUUCAGGAUGCUCAGAGCCUGGUCCAUUUCUGAGUGCUUCAUUGUUUUUAACGUGCCGCAGAAUUCUGUGUCGCCAACUCACGAGUGCAGAUGUUGUUGUGGACCGGCAGGAGCUAUUGGCAGUUGGGUCUUUUCCCACCUCCGAAGACAUGUGAAGCAAUUUGGAUCCAUGCGACGCUAGCUGAAUUGUGCUGUUAACAUGAUAAGUGGCGUUACAAGUGAGAGCAUUAGACAAAAAUUCACAUCUUUGGGAUCCUGAAUGUGUCUGUUAGCUGUAUGUCUCCAAAGAAAUUUUGUCACCCUGUCUGCAGGCUUUAAUAACACAACAGCAAAGUACUAGACUGUGUUUGGUUCAGGUUUGGGGCUACGGUUGCGUUCUUUUUCAUUGCUAUAAAAAUCCAGCAAAAUCUGGCCUUACCAUAAACCUGUGAGAAGUUGAGUGUGCACGUGUUCUGUAGAUACUCCCUAUGCAUUUGCAGAUAAACCCAUUGGAAACGCAACCAAGGUAUUUGAAACACACAGGCCUAUCAAUGCUGUGAAGCGCAGUGUUGCCACAAGAACCGGUGCCAUGGCAGAAGUCGAGAGGAAGCUGCUCAUUCCGGCAUGCCCAGCCUGCACGCCAUGCCAUCCUUCAGUCUUGGAGCUGCAUGUCAACCAGGAUGACAAAAGCAGUGAUGGAACGGCAGCUUGCUUGGGGGGCUGUGCAGGGGACCAUGGGCCCUCUGGAGAAAAACAGCAAGCGAGGAGGUCGUUAAUGCUGGGGGAGCAGUCUGCAACUGCGGCCCUGGUGCUGUCCUUCCCAGUGCCAGCAGUGAGAGCCAAGGCAGGAGGGAGCUGUGCCUGUGAGUCCCGAUGGUGAGAGCUCUGCGUGAACCACCUUGGAGCCCGGACAGCUGUUAUGAUAGACCUCUAUUCUGAGCUGUUUGUCUGGUGAGUCACUUUUAAAGGAACAAGGCUGAAACCACAUUGCUGCUAAUGACUCUUUCCACGGGUGUGGCUUCCCUUUGCUUGAGUACGCUUGAAGUCAUGCGCAGUGAGAGGUGUUUUCAGGGACCGGCUUAUUUUUGGCACUGAAUUUAGAACAGGGCCAUGUUCUGCCCAGAAGUUCACACCUUGCAACUGGCUCCCACCCACCCUUCACUUAUUUACCAUUCUGUUUUGAAAAUGGACCGAGGACUACAGACCACACAUGCCUAUGAGAUGCUGCACUUCAUUCAUGAUGGUACUUCAGAUACUGAGUGUUGAACCCCCAGAACAGGAGAGCAAGUCAGUAAUUUGCACCAGGUCAACUUGAUUAUUUUCUGAUUAUUUUCGUCCCGCUAAUCCUGUCGAUUAAAGAGAGGUGAUCCAGAGCUGUCAGUAAUCUUUGGGGAUGAAGCACGGGUGGAGCAAAGUUGAGCUUAGUGAAAUCUACCGGAUAGACCAAAACAGCACCAAACUGUUUGGUUCUCACCCCCACUGACUCUCUCUUAAAAAAUACAUGUAGGAAGAUUGAGCAUAGAAAACAUUUAUCAUUUCAGCGCAACUUCUCCUAUAUCUCUUUGUGCCUCCUUGUUAAAUAGUGCUUUGCUCUCUGGAAGCAAGGCGAAAAACAAGGGGACAGAAUAAAGUUGGGGUACUUGAAUUUGUGACUUAAUUACGUCGUCAUUACCAGAGCGGCUUCCCUAGAUGUGUGCAGGACUGUGUGAUACAUCCUGAGGAACGCGUCCCAGUCCUGUGAGGUACCUGGUGAAAUCAUUUCAAGUAUCUACUGCCGACUUUGCUGGGAAUAAAGAUGCCUUGGGAGACUCACUGCACCCAACCCAGCCACGGAAACAGCAAUUGUGCCUUCGCCUCUCUCUGUUCUCAAAUACAAGCAGUUUGUCACCAAAGUGGUGCUUGAAGUAACUUCACUAAUUUCAGUACGGUUUAACCGAGAGCAGGUUUCAUCUGUUGCCUCCGAAAUAUUAGUUUGUGGAUUCCUGUGGAAAGAUAAAACAGGAGGGAGAAAAAUAUUCUCCUUCACUUGUGUGAAUUCCUACUAAAACAUCAUUUACUUUCUUGUUCCCUAGUGGAAAAGCAUGCUUGAUUUCAAUUAAAAUGAAAUGUCAUCAUUUUGGGACGUGCUGCAUAGUUUUAACAAAUACGCCUUGUGUUCAUCCAUCAGGGAGAAGAUGUUGGAUUUGUAUAAAGGCCAACAGGUACAGAGGAUGCUUUGCAUUCAUGGUGAAAUUACCUGUGCAUGUAUCCUACCAGCACCCUGUUUAGCUGAACUCAGCCGGGGCAGAGGAUUUUCCCUCCUUUUCCACCCGUGUUAGUUGCAGGUGUUUAGAGCAGUCUUUGUUCCACCUCUCUGGUGAUGGAUUUCCUCAAUUCUGCAGCCUCAGGUCUGGGUCCCUGGGUCCCAGCAGCCUUUCCCAGUUGGAGAUACUGUGUCCUGCAAGCCCCCACUGUACUGGUUGGCAGCAGUGGUCACUGGUGAUGUUUUGCUCUGAACAAGGCUGUAUGGUAUGUCCUGUAGUUGAGGGAAGUCUACAGAACUGAAUUUUACCAUAAAAAAAAAAAAUAUAUAUAUAUGUAUACAUAUAUAUAUAAAUUCCUGUUGAAGCAUCCUGCUAUACAUUAUUUUUUAAUUCAAAGGCUGUUUCUCUUUCCCCUCACCCCUUCCCAGUGGGAUGGGGGAAAGAAUAAGAAAACAAACAAAGUAGAAUUCGGAGGUUGAGGUAAAACUUUACUAAGACAGAGAAAAGGAAAAUAGUUAUGACUGUACGUAUACAUAAAUGUCUAUAAGAAGUGAUGCACAAGCAGUUGCUCACCACGCUCGACCAAUGCUCAUCUGGCCCUUGAGCAGUGGAAUAGAGCAGUAUGAAUUCCUACCCCCUUCAAAACGCCUUCCACGUGAUGCCACAUGAUAUGGAAUAUCCCUUUGGCUAGUUUAGGUCAGCUGUCCUGAUUCUGCUCUCUCCCAGCAACUUGGGCCCUUUGCUGAGAGUGGCCUUGGCAUAGCAGGCAACUAUAAAGAUUGCUGCAUUAUCAACGGAGUUUAUCUCCUAGAACCAAGACAUAGCAUCAUACCAGUCACUAUGAUGAAAACGGUUCCAUUCCAGCUGAAACUAAGACAAUAUCUUAUCCUUUUGCCAUUUAAAUUUGACAUGUAAAAAUUUCUUUUCAAGCCGUACUACAGUGAAGUUAGUUCUGUCAGUUUACUUCACUCAAGUAAAUGGGCAUAUGUAGGUAGUUAUGGAAAUACGUUGGUCGUGAUGACAGCUGGACUAAGAAUACGAAAUGUGCAAUAAGGCAACUUCUUAUGAAGAUUUCAGCAGGUAUCUUUAAUAUUUCCUCAAGAACAAACAUCUGGAAGAAAUGCUUUUCUCAUGGAAACGUUUUUAAUAUGGUACGUUUUCUUCGAGAAAAGACAGGGAAAUGUUAAUUGGAGGUGUGUAUCGUAGCCAAUUAACUUGAUAAUACACCUGUAAAACUAGAAACAGUGUUAUUCUUUGUCUACUGCUUGCCAUCUUCUAUUAAUGACUAAAGAACAGAAAAGUAUUCUACGUAUGAUAAUGUGAUUUGUGGCUUUCUUCCCCAGGUAGACCUAUUUAAAAAGUAAGAAAUGUUUGGAGGGAGGUAUGGCACCUAAAAUGCCCGUUUCACAGAAGUUUGCUAUUCUGUAACGUCAAACAAAAGUGUGUUUGGAACGCCCAGGCUUCUGAGUGCAGUCAGCGUGAUGAGUGUCACUGGUGAUGAUUUACGGUCAUUCUGCAUGACCAAACUAAACAAAGUUCUGGGUAGCAGACGUACUUUGUCUUCAGCUUUUGAAUGGAAUUAGCAUAUUGUAUGUGUGAAAAGAACUGUAUUCUUUGUUUUUUGUUUGUUUGUUUGUUUGUUUGUUUGUUUUCCUUGGGGCUUUCUUUAUUUCCUAUUCUCCUAAUCUGGAUCUUGUGAGCAUACAGUAUGAUGAUAUGGGUAUCAAAAUGUCUGAUUCAAAGACAACUCCCUCACAGUGUUUGAAGGCAGAUGCUAUAUUCCAAGUAGAGGGAGAAGUUCUGAACUAUGCCAUGACAUGAUAACCAAACUUUUCAUAAGUAGUAUUCCUGAAACGCUUAGACUUGAAUGUAUUUUGGGAAAUGCCUAACACUGUUUUCCUUAUAUCAAAAUUUUAAUACGUGUUUUAACUUAAUGUUACAUUUUCAUUCCAAAUGAGGAAGAUGAAAUGUCUUGAUCGGCCCCUUGAAAGCAUCCAACAUAAUUUUCUCCAGAGUGUGUGGGGUCAUCCAUCAUAAAGCUACACAGAAUGUUCCUGCAUUGCUCUCCCUGCUUCAGAAACUCAGUAAUUUGAUUGAUAAAAGUGUCUUACAAUUCCUCACAUAAAUGUGAGCAUGGCAAUAUUUUUGUUAUCAGUAUCAUCCUUUAACUCGAGUAGUUCUUCCUUUCUUGGCUUAUCACUAAUAAUGCUCAUCAUGCUGGGAUAAAUGAUGUCUCUUACACAAUGGAUUCUCCAUUCUCUUCUAAGUAGCCCUUCUCUGCUUUUUUUUUUUUUUUUUUUUUCCAUUUUGAAUUCAUCUUUCCCAAAAAGGUUGAAUAGAAUUACAUUCAGCGUCCCAUAUAAAGCCUUACUGCAUCUUGCUCAGUGCAAUUAAUAGUUGCUUACAUCUGCUAGAAGUCACCUGGCUCACAUCUUAGGAUCACUUUUGAUUCUUUCAACAGCAUCUGAUAUUUACCCCGGAAUUCAGGAACACGUCCAGGCCAGAUCUGGAUCCUCAGCUCCGCAAGAGGUGUCAACAGCAGCUGUGACGAACUGUUCUCAGCAGGUCCCCUACCAAAGCACAGCUGACUGGAGACCUGUCUUCUGGAUGGCAGUCAGAUGAGGUGAAUCCCUCACUGUCUACACUUCCCAUUACAUACUGUUGCAUCUAAUGUACUUUCUAUUGCUUUGGUCUUCAAUGAGCAGAACUUCCAGUGUGAUGCUCCCAUCAUUGCCACUACCUCCUUCAAUUUGUCACUGGAACGUUUUAUUAGCUUACUCCUCCCUUUACUGCAGAGAUCAUUGAUGAAAUAAGCAGUAAGAUCAUUUCCAGCACUAACUCUUGAUGUUGAAUUCACAGAAUCACAUACUGUCUGAGCCGGGAAGAGACCGCUGGGUCCUUCUGAUCCAACCCCCUCCCCAGGAUCGGACACCCAGAGCAGAGUGCCCAGGCCCCCGUCCAGCUGAGUUUUGAAGACGUCCAAGCAGGAAACCCCAACAUCUCUCUGGGAAACCAGUAACAGUGCUCUGGCACCAGCACAGUGAAGAAGUGCUUCAAGAAAUGUAGGAAGGAGAUCUUGGGUUCAGGUCCACGGCAGCACUAAGCCGUUGGUGAUGUGCCACGGCUACAUCUUCAGAGAGAUGGGAGAAGCGUCGCCAUUCGCACAGGAACAAAUAUGCUGACUCAGUAAUGGAAGAAUGCUAAAGAAAAUGUAUCCACUUGGAGAUCUUUUUUCUAUAUUCUUUCAUCCUAGAAUUUCAUGGAACGAGAAUAACAUAGUUACUUGUUUGUGUUGAAAUCAAACAUGCUUGUUCUUCACUUGCAAAAAUAGGAAACUUCUUUCAAAGUGACACUCUUCAUGAAAGAAUAGAAGUGUGCAGCUGCUGUAUGACUAAGUGAUUAAAAACCUGAUGGCUAAUUCAUUUUAGGUGAUAUGUUUGCACUCAAGGCCAAGUAUCAUAAAAAUAGCUGCUUCGCUUUUCUUUUUUAAUAUUAAGUAAAACACCAUAGAGUUUUCAGUAGGCUGGCAAGAUUUUCCAUAUCCAGUUUUGCCCAAUUGAAGUCAGGCUACCACAACUAGAAUUGUCUUCUCUCUAAUAUUUCCCUUUUACGCAGCCUUCACCCACGUAGUUUUUACUAGACAAAUGGUUUUAAACUACCUGAGGCCAAGGGGAAAGUUCACAACAUUUUAUAAAUCUUGCCUGGAAAAUGCCAAGAUAGAUGGCAUUUUCUUGGCUCGUACACUGUGUGUAGGGAAGUAGAGAGAGUUUAGAGAGUUUAUGAGACUUAAUAGUCUGCUCACCAAAGCGGUAGUAUUUAACUCAUUGAGUGCUAUUUGAGGACUCGACAUGGCUAGAGAAGAAUGUCAUAUUGUUGUUAAUAUUAUUAUUUGUUAUUUUUGUUAUUGAGCUUAGAUGCGUAGAAGACAACCAGAGAUGCUUGAUUUUGGGUUCAGUGUGCUGAUGUACGUUGCUUGUCCUUAUAAUCUAAUUAAAAGAUGAUGUAAAAAAUACGUGGGAAUGAGAACAGAAAGAGGAUGAAGAAGAAAAUAAUUGAAGUAAUACAUGGUGGUUGGAUUAGUUAUUUGCACAAUUAGCUAUUUGAAUUAGCUACUUGACAAGUGAUAUAGAAGAAAGAAUAAAGGGCUAUCUCUGUCAAAGACAGUUUUUAGUGAAGCUGCUACUGUAAGUGUAUUAUGAUUUAAAUAUAAAGAGCUUCAGGUUUCAGUUAAAUGGAUUUUGAUUCUGCUUAUUUUUCUAAUGCUAGAUUUGUUUCAUUUCUGUAUUAAGCUCCUCUUAUUAAACCAUGCAGUGUCUGAUGGAAAUUUCAACCUUUGUUUCAAGUGCAAUGCAGUUUCCUGGGAGCAGACUAAGGCAUAACCUAACGAUUUUUUUAAACACUUAUUUGUGCUCAACAAAGAGAUUGAACAUAAAAUCUCAGGAUUUAUUGAAAUACUCUGAGCCGGAGAAACAGGUAUACAAUUAUUUCUAGAUAUUGGAUUGCUUUUCAGCUGACAAACUCAUAACUUUGCUACUGCGUUCUUCUGACAUGCUCAACAGAGGUUUGAUUAUGUCUAUCCCCAUUUAGCUAGGUAGAGUGCCAUCUCCGCUGGGGGAAACAGAGAAAACAGCUACUUGAAAACAAGAAACUAUUAAUAUUUGAUCAAAAUUAAAUUGAUUGUAUGGGAUGAAUAUGAGGUAGGAAAUUGUAGUCAAAUUAAUUUUCACAGCAAAUUGGUCUCAAUUUUUUUGAGAAGGACCCAAAGUGAGUUAUGGACCCAACAGUCCAAUGCAGUCAGAUCCAGGAGACUGGAAUCUUCAAGUCCUUCACAUGGCAAGCCACCAGUCUGGAAUGUCUUACCUGACUGAUUUUCCAGAACCACUUCCUUCAAGCUGAAGAGCCAUCUCAACAUGUGGAAAGGCAAGCCUGAGUGGCAGGAGACCUGCAUGGCUGGGCAAUGAAUGGACGCAAACAUAAAAAGGAAGAGAGGAAAAGGUGGAAGCAGGGCACCCACAUCGUGACUUAAGGUCAUCAAGGGCUGUGAGAUUUGUAUGGAAUACAACAAAAAUAUCAAAUAAAAUUGAGGAACUUAUC
Long non-coding RNA from Gallus gallus (chicken), 9576 nucleotides. The record is from Ensembl. NCBI's taxonomy places the organism in Eukaryota, Metazoa, Chordata, Aves, Galliformes, Phasianidae.